This 597-nucleotide ribosomal RNA is filed under the name Itajahya galericulata. Its description in RNAcentral is "Phallus galericulatus partial large subunit ribosomal RNA". It matches the Rfam family "Eukaryotic large subunit ribosomal RNA", at positions 100 to 659 of the family's 3401-position model. The record is from RNAcentral. Lineage: Eukaryota; Fungi; Basidiomycota; Agaricomycetes; Phallales; Phallaceae.
GGGAACAGCUCAAAUUUGUAAUCUGGCGGCCCCCCCGGGCCGUCCGAGUUGUAAUCUGGAGAAGCGUUUUCAGUGCCGGCCCGCGUACAAGUCCCCUGGAACGGGGCGUCGCAGAGGGUGAGAAUCCCGUCUCUGACGCGGCCUGCCGGCGCGCUGCGAUGCGCUCUCGAAGAGUCGAGUUGUUUGGGAAUGCAGCUCAAAACGGGUGGUAAAUUCCAUCUAAAGCUAAAUACUGGCGAAAGACCGAUAGCGAACAAGUACCGUGAGGGAAAGAUGAAAAGCACUUUGGAAAGAGAGUCAAACAGUACGUGAAAUUGUUGAAAGGGAAACGCUCGGAGUCAGUCGCGUCUCCCGGGACUCAGUCGUGCUUCGGGCGCGGCGUACUUCCCGGGUCAGGACGGGCCAGCAUCGAUUUCGACCGUCGUAAAAAGGCGAGGGGAAUGUGGCACCUUCGGGUGUGUUAUAGCCUCGUGUCCGCAUGCGACGGUGGGGGAUCGAGGGAUGCAGCGCGCCCCCCCUUUCGAGAGGGGGCCGGGGUUCGCCCACGUAACGCGCUUAGGAUGCUGGCUUAAUGGCUUCGAGCGACCCGUCUUGAAA